UAAGGAAUAUUGGUCAAUGGGCGCAAGCCUGAACCAGCCAUGCCGCGUGCAGGAAGACGGCCCUAUGGGUUGUAAACUGCUUUUGUACCGGAAUAAACCUUCCCUUGCGAGGGGAGCUGAACGUACGGUAAGAAUAAGGAUCGGCUAACUCCGUGCCAGCAGCCGCGGUAAUACGGAGGAUCCGAGCGUUAUCCGGAUUUAUUGGGUUUAAAGGGUGCGUAGGCGGCUUUUUAAGUCAGGGGUGAAAACUUGCGGCUCAACCGUAAGCCUGCCUUUGAUACUGAAGAGCUUGAAUACACUUGAGGUAGGCGGAAUGUGACAAGUAGCGGUGAAAUGCAUAGAUAUGUCACAGAACACCAAUUGCGAAGGCAGCUUACUAAAGUGUGAUUGACGCUGAGGC
This 400-nucleotide ribosomal RNA is filed under the name uncultured bacterium. RNAcentral's name for it is "bacterial SSU rRNA". It matches the Rfam family "Bacterial small subunit ribosomal RNA", at positions 355 to 752 of the family's 1533-position model. The record is from RNAcentral.